AUUCAUCUUCGUGCAUGCACACAUGCAAUGUUUUACAAAGCAUCUGUUGAGUGUCUACGGCACAACACACACGUUCUGGUGCUGGAGAUCCUGCCCUGGCUGAGCUUCUGGACCUGGUGGGGAGAAAUCCACAAUGAGUACUGAGACGACCGGCAAAAGCCCGGUGAAGGCACCUAGGAGUAGGGCCUGCUUACCCUGGAGGAGUCGGGAGCAGCUUCCACAGCAAGGAGGCUUCUAAGGUACCCAAAAGCACAAGAGACAGUGAACGGAAAGUGCUUGGAAGCCCCGUGCCCAGGUGGUGCUGGCCCCAGCUGAACUGCGGGGAUAGAUGUUGAGUGUCCAGGUUCUAGCAUCAUAGAACAGAAUCCGGCCUGUUGGGAAAUCCUGCCUACAAGUAUACCUCCAUUAAUUAGUGUCUUCUGUGAACAUUUUUAUUAAAAAAAGAAGAAAAGCUUCUCAACCCAAGCCCAAGGGCAUGUCCUGAUUUGUUGAAAGUAGUUGUAAGACCAUUUCAUUAUUCACUCUACUUUUUCAUAUGUUGGAAAUGUUUUAUAAGAAUAAAUACAAUAAUAUC
Molecule: long non-coding RNA, 574 nt
Filed under: Homo sapiens (human)
Lineage: Eukaryota; Metazoa; Chordata; Mammalia; Primates; Hominidae
Description: long intergenic non-protein coding RNA 1849
Source: RNAcentral